GACGAACGCUGGCGGCGUGCCUAAUACAUGCAAGUAGAACGCUGAAGGAGGAGCUUGCUUCUCUGGAUGAGUUGCGAACGGGUGAGUAACGCGUAGGUAACCUGCCUGGUAGCGGGGGAUAACUAUUGGAAACGAUAGCUAAUACCGCAUAACAGUAGAUAUCGCAUGAUAUCUACUUGAAAGGUGCAAUUGCAUCACUACCAGAUGGACCUGCGUUGUAUUAGCUAGUUGGUGAGGUAACGGCUCACCAAGGCGACGAUACGUAGCCGACCUGAGAGGGUGAUCGGCCACACUGGGACUGAGACACGGCCCAGACUCCUACGGGAGGCAGCAGUAGGGAAUCUUCGGCAAUGGACGGAAGUCUGACCGAGCAACGCCACGUGAGUGAAGAAGGUUUUCGGAUCGUAAAGCUCUGUUGUAAGAGAAGAACGAGUGUGAGAGUGGAAAGUUCACACUGUGACGGUAUCUUACCAGAAAGGGACGGCUAACUACGUG
Molecule: ribosomal RNA, 495 nt
Filed under: uncultured bacterium
Lineage: Bacteria
Description: partial 16S ribosomal RNA
Rfam family: Bacterial small subunit ribosomal RNA
Source: RNAcentral